Drosophila bipectinata is the source of this 515-nucleotide non-coding RNA. The record is from RefSeq and is a predicted model, not a curated record. NCBI's taxonomy places the organism in Eukaryota, Metazoa, Arthropoda, Insecta, Diptera, Drosophilidae.
ACUCCGGGAGUUGCAACUUCGUUGCCUGCGAACUCCGUUGCUCUCGUGUUGCGGCUGCUGCGUCUGCUGCUGACGUCGCAGUUGCUGCUUAAGCAAGCAGAGACAGCGACCGAGGCAGUGGCAGCGGCAGAGGCAGAGACAGCGACUGAAGCAGAAGCGGCAUGGCAUGCCGUGAAAGUCCGAGUCGUGUCGAGAUCGAAGCGCCGAACGGAACGGAACGGAACUGAACGGAAGUGCAGUGCAAAGCGGAAACGGAAGUUGAGCAGCAUUCCCACUUAGUACGCACACACUCUCACACACGCAAGCACACACACACAUGUGCGGUUGGAGUUCUACUCUUAUUGUUUGUGUUUGAAGAAGAAAAAAUAAAAUAAAUUUUUUUUUUUAAUAAUUUUUUUCCUUUGAUUUUUUAACGCGCGACUCUGAGAAUUUUUUUGAUAAAUUUUUUUAAGCAGCAAGAACAACAACGUGCGGUGUUGUGAGCUUGCCACAAAAAAAAAAUAAAAGAAAAAAGA